GUGGAAUUGAAGCAGACAGCAGUACACAGCAGCUGUUAGCAAGCCUAGAAGACAGACUAAAUGAGUUGCUAGACACUGUGGAAACACUGCCCUGUACUAAAGUGAAAGCUGUUCGAAAACGUCAUCGAAAGGAAAUUAAUCUAAGAAUACAAGAGGAAAAUAUCAGAUUAGCAAAAGAACUACAUGAGAAACUGCAGAUGGAAAAAGCAGCAGCACAUACUGAAAAGCGAAUGGUUGGAAGAAGACUAGUGUACCGGUCACAGCCACCAACAACAGAAAAUAUAAAUAUGAACAAGCAGCCAAUGCGCAGCAAGGAACAAGAAGAACUAUCAUAUUUCUUCUCCUGAGGCUUUAAAGCUAAGACAUCAGAAUCUGGAUAUUUCUCAGAUGUACAAAGUUGUCUUCACAGACAAAAAAAGUUUAAUUGAAUUUUUGAAUUUUUCCUGAUGUUACUGUAUGCACCCACCAUGUACAAAUCAAGCAAGAUGUUUAAAUCAGAAGAUAUGUUUUGUUUACAUUUUAGUUAAUUUUUGCCUUUUCAAGAACAAAUAACAUUUCAGCCUUGCAAAAAAUAAAAUAAAAAUGAUUACUGUAUGAAAGGACGGCACAGUGGAGUAAUAGUGAUGUGAUAGGGUCACAAACCUGUGGAGCUUCCACAUUCAUCCCAUGUCUCUGUGUUUUUUUCUCUUGCCAUAUUGGUUUUCUCCACUGUUUUGGUUUACUAGGUGUUUCUAUAUUUGUCCUCUUUGUGUGUGUGGGCCCCGCAAUAGACUGACACAAUCUCUAGGGGCUAAUGCUUGCCGCCUGCUUGAUUCUGCUGGAAUAUGCAUGAAUUACAUCAUUCAAGUUUGAGAAGAUUGUGGUUUCAGCAUAAUGAGCACAUGUGCAGCAAGCAGAAAUAGUAAUUAUGAACU
Molecule: long non-coding RNA, 914 nt
Organism: Erpetoichthys calabaricus (reedfish)
Lineage: Eukaryota; Metazoa; Chordata; Cladistia; Polypteriformes; Polypteridae
Exons: 3
Source: RefSeq, a predicted model, not a curated record